UCAGCUUGUUGGUGGGGUAAUGGCCCACCAAGGCGACGACGGGUAGCCGGCCUGAGAGGGCGACCGGCCACACUGGGACUGAGACACGGCCCAGACUCCUACGGGAGGCAGCAGUGGGGAAUAUUGCGCAAUGGGCGGAAGCCUGACGCAG
Molecule: ribosomal RNA, 151 nt
Filed under: uncultured bacterium
Lineage: Bacteria
Description: partial 16S ribosomal RNA
Rfam family: Bacterial small subunit ribosomal RNA
Source: RNAcentral